RNAcentral lists this long non-coding RNA (1387 nucleotides) under Cucumis sativus (cucumber). RNAcentral describes it as "long non-coding RNA (CSAT_LNC000061)". Lineage: Eukaryota; Viridiplantae; Streptophyta; Magnoliopsida; Cucurbitales; Cucurbitaceae. The record is from RNAcentral.
GUAUAUCGCAUGUGGAGGCUAUCUGAGCAUGUUGAGAUCGUUGACUAUUCUUAUAUAGCAAUUUCCGACAAUCACGUUUCAUAUGGCCUGGCUUACGACAGUAGUUACAAACAAUCUCUACAGACUCUGGUUUUCGAUGAUCAGUACUAUUCCUCUGAGGUGCCCGAGGGUUAUUGUUCUUGCUAAAGAGAGCACUACUGGGUUGAGGAAUAGACACACUAGUCGGAGAGCUUUCAAUGCGAAGGACUCGAGUGAAGGCAUCAUCUAAUGAUGGAAUCUUGGAGUCAGAGAGAAUCUGUGUCUUUGCCAUUCCAAAUUCAGGUAAGAGUCCAUUCAGAAAAAUCAUAACAGCCAUCUUCUCUCGUUGAACUUGUUGAACUUUAACAUCAGGACUAAAAGGUAACAACAAGCCAAGCUCGGCAAUGAUCUUCUUAAGCCGCAUAAAGUAGCUGGUGACAGACUCAGCUUUCUGUUCCGCACGAAAAAAUUGCAUACAAACUUCAAACAUUCUAUGCACUUGCUCUUUACCUGAGUAUAGAAAAUCCAAAAAUUCCAAAAGUUCUUUAACAGACUCACAGUGAUCAACCAAUCCAAUUAUCUCACUCUCAAUUGAAUUCUUGAUCUGAAGAUAUAAACGGGCAUCAUCACGAAGCCAAUCCUUCUUCUGCUUUGCAUCUUUUGGGGGAUCUUCAGUCAUAUGAUCAUCCAUAUCAGUACUUCUCAAAUAAAAUAAAAUUGUCCGACGCCAAUCGUAAUAAUUGGAUCCAUUUAACUUAUGUUCUGUGAUCUUAGAGGCCAAGGGAAUAACGUUGGAGACUACCAAAUUUUUUAUGUCGGCCAUAUUGAAGUCACACGUUGAUUGUAAUCCACUCGAACAAAGAGAAAAUCAAUCCAAACAGCUGCAAAAUUGGAAAAAGACACAAAACCAAUCGUGUAACCUUCGGUUUUCGUCAAACCCGAAUGUUAUUUGAUAGACCCAAUGGUACAGACUGGCAGGAAACAAUGGUUCGAGACAAGCCCAGAAGACAGAAGACAAAUCGGACUUCACACGCGCUCUCACGCGCCGGCGCGUGGGUGAAGGUGACGAUGAUUCCGGCGGCGCGUGAAGGUCACGCGCGGUGUUUUCCGGCGAUCGGCGAAGACAGACUUGGGCGGACGGAGGUGGUGCUUCUUAUGGUAUGGGCGGUGUCGACAAAUGGUCACCGGAAGGUAACCCAAACUCCAAACCUAAUGGAGGGCUCUGAUACCAUGUAAUCUAGAAUUCAGAAACGUAUGUCUUAUUCUCAUUGAGUCAAAGCAAUGUUACAUAUUUAUAAAGAGAAUAAACUAAACCCUAGAGACUAUGUAAAAUUACAAUAAAGGACAUAUGUAUAUAUAUAUAUAUCAU